Molecule: transfer RNA, 71 nt
Filed under: Minisyncoccota bacterium
Lineage: Bacteria; Bacillati; Minisyncoccota
Also listed under: 2 other names
Description: tRNA-Gly
Rfam family: tRNA
About the family: Transfer RNA (tRNA) molecules are approximately 80 nucleotides in length. Their secondary structure includes four short double-helical elements and three loops (D, anti-codon, and T loops). Further hydrogen bonds mediate the characteristic L-shaped molecular structure. tRNAs have two regions of fundamental functional importance: the anti-codon, which is responsible for specific mRNA codon recognition, and the 3' end, to which the tRNAs corresponding amino acid is attached (by aminoacyl-tRNA synthetases). tRNAs cope with the degeneracy of the genetic code in two manners: having more than one tRNA (with a specific anti-codon) for a particular amino acid; and 'wobble' base-pairing, i.e. permitting non-standard base-pairing at the 3rd anti-codon position.
Source: RNAcentral
GCGGGAUUAGUUUAAUGGUAGAACAACAGUUUUCCAAACUGUGAGCAGGAGUUCGAUUCUCCUAUCCCGCA